Long non-coding RNA from Cynoglossus semilaevis (tongue sole), 7058 nucleotides. RefSeq lists it as uncharacterized. The transcript has 2 exons. The record is from RefSeq and is a predicted model, not a curated record. Lineage: Eukaryota; Metazoa; Chordata; Actinopteri; Pleuronectiformes; Cynoglossidae.
UUUUCUUUUUUCUUUUUUUUCUUUCUGUCAUCAGUCAGAGAUUCGCGCGUUAACGUGAGUUGUUUGUUUGUUUGUUUUUUUGCUGUAUGUUUGUCCCGUUGUUGUCAACUGACGGACUGACGUUAUAACAGAGACUCAAGUGCUGGGUCGAUCACAGGGACAUAACGUUCUGAUAUGUCAAGUGUGAAGACGCGGUUGCUCAAUAUUGGACAGCACUCGUGGAGAAUUACACGCCUGAGGGUUUACACACUGUUGGAAACGGUCCAUCCUUCAUGUUCGUGUAUUUAUGUGUGUAGUUGUUGUUGAAUGAAUCAGACGAUUAACCGUGUGGGGAAACGAACUUCCCUUUAAGUUUUAAUUUGCAGUUUGUCCUUUUUCAAUUCAGUUGUAGAAGUGAAUUAUCCUCAGUGUAAUGACAAGACAACAUGGUACAGCGGGUUUAUUCAGUGUUAAAUGCCUGUGUUUUGAUUUUCUGUCUCUGUUUUAACACUGAUGACUUUUUCAGAUUCAGACUCUGUCAGUUUUGAACAUUAUCUCUUUUUUUUUCACAUGAAGAUCCAUCACAUUCGGGGCCUUUUGCCCACCUGAGAACCCCUGUCUGACCUUUAUGUAGGAGUCAAACUCUGGGAGACACGUUUCCUUUUUUAUUUUUUGCCCAGCUGGCAUUAGGUACAAGCAGUGGUACCACAGCCCCCCCCCCUUCUCUCCUCCCCCCACUUCAACCCCUCCUCGGUGGUCAAAAGCUGACUUUCCAGAGGGGAUGAGAGACAGACUGAGGUGAUGAAUCUGCAGAAGUGUGGCUCGCCUCUAUGACCCCGCUGCCUGGAAGACUUGGCGUGCUCCAGGGGUAGUCCAGGGCACGGGCAGAAGAGCCCACAAAACUCAGCUGUGUUUGCAUUGGGCUUUUAAACUUAAGGUGGUUUCACUUCUCCUUUUCACUUGGACACACACACUCACACACUCACACACUUGAGGUUCACAAUGGUAGCAUGUUUGGAUGAUUUGCAUUAAGCAGCCGUCUGCUUCAGUUAAUCCCCCUGUGCUUUUGAAGCUCAGGUGGCGCUAAGUCUGUUAGUGAAACACAAACAGUGCUGAUGCAUCAUGGAAAUGUGAUACUAAUUACCAGUGCUCAUCUACAAUAGGGCCUUGAGUCACCACGUUAACCGCCAUCUCCUCGCCGUUUGUACCUGCAGAGCUGAGAUUGUAAUACACACACACACACACACACACACAUCUCACAGACGUACAUAAAAGGUGCUGACUGCGGCAGUUAAGUUGCUAAAGUGCCGCGCUAUCUUGCAAAACCAUUUCGCAAUGCUCGCCCCUGCUCUUGCUUACAUGGGUGCAUUCAGGUCAAGUUCAUGCUCUGAAGAAGCGGUUCACAGCCUCACACACACACAGAGACACACAACCACACACAGACACACACCACUUUCUUUCUCACACAGAAACUUUGCAUAUUUUUUUUUCUUACAACACAUACUGGAAAUAUGUAGCUUCAAUUUCCCUCUUAUUAAUGUUUGAAGCUGCAUUUGUUUUUGUUAACAAACAACUGUUAAGCUGCACCACGUGUAUUCAUGUGGCAGUUAAAGCAGAGCUGCGUUAGAGCUGUCAGAAAACAAGACAACCUUUUUCUAGCUCGAAACACCUGCAACCGCAGCACAUGCAUAUGCACAUGCUCUUUGAACAGGCGGCAGUGGUUCCCAGCCCGCCCCACGGGUUUGUUUGUUUUCCCUAGUGCAACCAAAGAGCAGUCAGUGUCAGCUGUCCAUACGUCCGUCCUCCCGUCCUCCCGUCCUCCCUCUCUUCAUCGGAGGUAAUUCCCUCUAAGGAGCUCACACUCUGCCGGGGUCAGAGUUCCACUCAAACAACACUCCUAAUGUUCCAGCGGGCUUUCAUUCCACUUUUGAAAGUUGUAGCAGUGGAGCCCACCAGGAUCUUGGUAGCAUAUUAUCAUGUCAGUCACGUAGCCGUAACAAAAUGGCGAUACGAUACAAAGACGUGUUUGGGAAGAUAUGAGACAAGGUUAGGUAACUGCAAAAAGGUAUGUUUAUUUUGUGACAUUAGGAGAAUACGUUAGUAAAUAAAUUAGGUAGGAGUGUAGAAGAAAAACACUACGCUAGUAUGACCAAGAUGGCAACGACCUGCCGAAUAAUAUUUAAAUGAGCUGUCAAGCGGUUCUUGUCGGUUUGAGUGUCUCGUCCACUUUCAAUCUGUGUUCCUUAGGUCAGGGUUGAGUGACUGACAAGAAUGUAAGGGAGGCCAUGCCCCGCUGGGUGGCAUGCAUACCGGCAUAGAGUAGGCCUGUGGGGGGGAGUCUGAUGUUUUUUAUCUGAUCAAAAAGCUGCUGUUUGUCAUAAACACCGUGAUUUAUGCCUCUGUCAGGGGCCUUUAUCUGGCAUCUUGUUCCAUCGUAGGUUCUAUGUACGCGGGCUGCGACGUACAAAAGUUCUGUUGAAAGAGUUCCUUCACAGCGUAUUUCCGAGGAGCCUCCUGCGUCGGUGCCGUGUGGGUACAGGGAGUUACAUAAGGCUUUUUCAUGGUUUUUGCAUGGCUUUGUUUGUGUCAGCACACCUUCAGGAGUGCAGGGUAUAUAUGUGUGUGUGUCAGUGUUUGACUGUGCCUGGUUGGCAGCUGUGCAAACACUGUUUGGGUGAUCCAGGCUCCUCCUGAUGUGGCAUGUGCAUGGAUGGUACCAGGCAGAGCAAAACUGGUCAGUGUCAAACUCGUUCACUGAGCCAGGGAAACCAUAUCAGUGUGUGUUUGACCCUGUUCUGUCCAAAAUAGAGCGUCGGCGAAUCGAUCACCUUCUCUUUGUUUCUCUUUCUGCCCAUUCAUGUGUGUUACAACACAUCGGUCGGUCCUUCAGUUCAACCUGUGUGUCAAUAAUUGUUCCUCUCGCUUAUCAGAUUUUGUUGCCCGUAACAACAUCAAAUUAUUACAGUGCGUGGGUCCCACCUUGAUGCCAACCUAACUAACACACGCCUUAAUGGUCCUUUAUGACGCUUAGUCAUACGCUGCAGCGUGUUAGCACUGGAAACAGCGGCGUCCUAAAUCGCAAGCACAUGGUUGAAUGGAGGGGGAGAUGUUUCAAGGUGAAGUUGAAUAUGACGGUAAUAAAUAUCACUAAAUAUGAAUCUGAAUUCAAACCGGAGGUUGUCCCUUUCCAAAUAAUUAUUGCACAAAAGCUUUUGAUUUCACUUGGAGUCCACAUGAAAGCCCCCCACCAAAACAAAGGAAAUAUGUUCUCUGGGCAGGGAUAUAAAGCAUUAACCAGCUUUUUGUAGAGGGGAAAAAGUGUAAUCACUCACUCACUCACACGGUCCCUCCUCUUUCUCUCUUCUGUGUCCACACCUUUCUGCAGGCCGCAUGAGUUUUUUUCUGGACACCUUGAUGUGGUAUUGAGUGAGUUCCUAAGUAGUGCACUUUGUCCCAUCCCCAUUCAUCUCUUCCUAGUAAUCCCUGAGUCAUGGCAUGGAACGCCUGCCUCACCACAUGCCACUACUAGCUGUCCGACUUCACGUCUGCUUCACUCGCUUACUGGUUUUGAGUUCAUGCCUCCUUGCUCACAUUAUCUUUCUUUCUCUUUUUUAGACUGUUAGCUGUAGCGCUACCUACAGUCGAAUGACAACUCUGCCAAUUUCAUAAUCAGUCGUUAAAAAAGGCUGCAUGUUCACCUCAGACGUCCCUCUGUCUACAACACGGCCACGCCACUCGUUUUGUUCGCUUUAUGUUUCUUCCCCUUGUUGUUCUCUUUCUGUGUAUUUGCUGCUCGCCACCUGGUUCUGGGGUCGGUAUUGCGUGCUGCUUUUGUAAUCAGGACAACAAAUGGGACCCAGCUACGGAUUUUAUGUGUAUCAGACCUGCAGGAGCAGCAGCACCAGAGCUGUGCAGAUUGUUUGGCCAACGGAAGAAAAGAAUGAUGUGGGCGGGAGGCUCUGUUGUGUAGGUGUUAUUCUCUGGGACUAAUGAAGAGUUGGGACCUGAUGACUGACUGGGAUGGGAUGUGCGUUGUUUUGUCUUUUGUUUUUUAGCCUGGUUGUCGGUGGAGAUGGUGUUAGAACAACAUCACUAUUGUCUGCUUAAUAAACUCAGGUGGUGAAAUACCGUAGUUUGACCUCCAAAUAUUCUUUAAACGGCAACUGAACCACAGAGUGGAAUUUUUUCACUUGAUGUUAUAUGACCACUGCUCUCACCCUGACCUCUCCUUAGAGCUGAGUUUCGAGCACAUCUUUUGACGUCCAGUCAUUGUUUAAAGAUCUGAGUCAUUCCCUGACUGUACUCAUGUCUGGUCUGUUCCAACAGAAACGUAGAGAGAUGUGAAAAAAAGGCAGGGCAAUUUAUUGACUUUCAUAUUCCUGAAGAUAUUUUCAAUUUUCCUUUUGCGCAGAAUUAAAAGAAAAGAGAGUUUGAUUUUCUUUUUCGGUCUUCUUUCUUCCUUGAGCUUAAAAUAGACUAGUAAUUCAUCCUUCUGAUCUGAGAUAAUUUUUCAGCUUACACCCAAAGUCAUUUUUGGUCACAUUAGAGCAAAACAAGAAAGUCGUGAGAAGCACAUUAGCGAUUGUAAAACAGAGGUGGAAUGCAAGGCACGCAACAUGAAAACACUGUGGUCUUGGGGAGGGGGGGUGUGGGGGUGGGGGGUUAUUUGUUAAGUAUCCAUCUGUCGUCCAUAGCUUGCCUUCAAAACAGUCCUACGUACUGUACAGUAUGUAUGAUGGAUAAUGAGAGCCAGGCAUCACAGGACAAAAGAGAUUCACAUAUUACACAGGACCGUAAAUGUGUGUCUGUGUGUGAAAAAAAAACAGCCCAUGAAUUUACACUUGCAUGAAGAUCCUGGUUGUGGAAUGCAUCCGUUUGGACUAAACGGGGCAGGCACCAUGUUUUCUGGAAAAAAUGCUACAUAGAGAGUAAACUGUUUGUCAGAUAUGUCAUGUGUUUGGUUUAAUGCCUAAACAGUCGCCCCAGAGCAUCUCCUGUCUGUUUACAACAUGGACGCAGCCCAGGAGGGGCAGCUAGCUUUGGUUAUAGCUAGGCUUGGACAUGCACACACACACACACACACACACAUACGGUCGAGUGUGUGAAUGAAAUAGAUGGUAACAAAUAUGUAUACUGUAAAUAUUUGACAUAUCCUCUCCUUACAUUUGUGUGUGAUUUGUCUAAACUUUUCCCCCAAUAAUUAUCUGGCUGACUUUAAAAAAUAAUGGAGAACUUAAAGGUUGUGCAAUUGGUUCUUGUGAAAAGGCAGUGCUGUUUUUUAACAUGUAAUACUUGAGGCACAUCUAAGAUCUAGAUGAUUUCACACUGUUUAGCAUGAGUAAAAGAACAAAUAUUCAGAUAUAAAAAAAAGAUCACACACAUAAAUCCUUGUUUGUUUCUAUUCCACUCAUUUUGCUGUAAAAGAUUAUAAACACUGAUUUUUAUUUUUUAAUUUUUGCAAAAUGUGUUUAUUCUCUGUCUGGGAUGACAUAAAAUAUCAUUUCUAAAUCCAAACUAAUGUCAUAUCCAGCUCUUAGACCUUGGCAUAAACAGCACAGUUAAUGCACUUUAGCGUCAUAAGCUAAUAUGAUUUCAGAGAUGGAGGAAGGGAAAGAAAAAAGACAGCAGUGGGGUAUCAGUCUCACUCAUUGUCUGCUGCUGUAGCCAGUGUGUCUGAGGCGGCGAUCGUCCUGGACACAGACCAUGUCAGUGGUGGUACAGCUGCUCUGGUCCACUGUGGUGCUCACGGAUGGCCUGAAGGCAGUGGUGAGAAUUAAACCAGUGUUUCUGAACUGUUUUCAGUCUUCACUGGAUCUUCCUGGUUUAUGCAUGGAAUCUCGUCCCUUUAACACUGUCCUGAUUGAAGCGGGCUCGGGUCAAAGUUUGGUCGGGUUUUUUUUUUUUUUUUUUUUACACUUUCUCGCCCCAUGCCUUACACAUCUAUUCCUGGCUCACUGGCAUUGAGAUGGAAAUCUAAACAGCGGAGCAGCUGGAUGAACAAGCGGCCCUCUCAAAAACCAGACUGCCACCCUGGUCCUUCUCCUGCUCUGCAGCAACCCUCCGCAACCACUUUAUCACCCACUGGUGUUGAAUAGGCCCCCUUCAUGUUGGUGGAGUUUAUGACCCUGCAUUCUCAGACCUAGCGUUCAGAUAAAAAUCUCCUUCAAAUGCAUUCUCAGAAACCACUGACACCUCUGACCUGAUGUAUGUCGGCGGUUCAGGAUUAAAGAGAUGAUUAGAACGGCCCUGGCAAGAAGCCAAGACCAUUUUGUUUUUGUUUCUUUCCUUUUCUACGCCUUGCUUUGAUGCUACAGAUCUGUUUGCUCUGAACAUAUAGAAAAAUACUGCAGAGUCAGUGGUGUAACUUUAAUGACCUCACCUUUCAUAGGAAGUGACUGCAGGAGAUUGACUUACAAAAAGGAAACAUGUAAAACUGUUAGCUUUCAACACCAUACCAUUCGACCUGUCAGUUGAACUUCUUAGUAGUAUUUAUAGAUUUGUUGUGUAAUAGGUACAACGUUGUCCCUUAGUCUUAGGGCCCGCUUGCUUGUUGUGCUUGUCUUGUUGCAUCACUCUGUGUGGAGGCAGCAGUCUAGGCUUUAUGAAUGAACGAGUCUCCGCCAAAGGCUGGGAGAUGGCACGGAUCCCACUGUGAUGUCACUCCAGAGACCAGGAGAAGAGAGGCAGCUUCAUAAGACCUCCCCUUCAUUCAUCUCUCUCCACUCUCCGUGCGGAUCUUUUUCUCUUUUGCUCUCCCUCGGUGCCCACCCCCAGUUCUCUGUCCCGUGAUGGGUUCGUAUUACAGAUCGGUGACUCACUUACCCGCUCACCCCUCCCUUUUGCCUCUUAAUGUACAUUAUCACCCCUCACCCACCAUGAUGCUCCCAUGCUGUCCUCCCCUCUGGCCCUGCCCUGCCCAUCCCUGUUUGUUUCAUCUCCGUAGACUUUGCACCCGGCCACAAAAAUCCCAUUAUCACACCCACGCGCUGACGUGCAGGCAGAGAUGAUUACUACUUUGGUACAUGUUUGUGAAUGUGUGGGUCAGUUGUGUAGCCAAAGGUGCCAAAAAAAAAAAAAAA